AACGCACCUUGCGCUCCUUGGUAUUCCGAGGAGCAUGCCUGUUUGAGUGUCAUGGAAUUCUCAACCCACACAUCCUUGCGAUGUGGACGGGCUUGGACUUUGGAGGUUUCUGCCGGCCCCCCAUUCGGGUCGGCUCCUCUGGAAUGCAUUAGCUCCAUCCCUUGCGGAUCGGCUCUCGGUGUGAUAAUUGUCUACGCCGUGGUCGUUGAAGCCUCAGUUGGGCGAGCUCACAAUCGUCCCCUCCGGGACAAUUCAAUCUGACAUCUGACCUCAAAUCAGGUAGGACUACCCGCUGAACUUAA
Molecule: unclassified non-coding RNA, 302 nt
Filed under: uncultured Polyporales
Lineage: Eukaryota; Fungi; Basidiomycota; Agaricomycetes; Polyporales
Description: sequence contains 5.8S rRNA gene, ITS2, 28S rRNA gene
Rfam family: 5.8S ribosomal RNA (bases 1-52)
Source: RNAcentral